GUUAGCGUCUCCUGUCCCAAGCCCGGGAGGUGCUUUAGUUUUCUACGUCUCCCAGCACUCGAGCGUCUCGGGAUUAUGACAAGCAGUCCAUUGUACCGGAGCAGAGAGGAACACACCCGGGACUAGCAAGUCUCUGAAGAGAAGCCAAUGGAAAGGAUGCAGAAGAAAACUGGGGGAAUAAUCUUUGGCUCAGAAUGUCCUGCAGACCAACUAACUGCAUGGGGGAUGUGCAGCCAGCAGCAGGAUGACAAGGUGGUGCCUGGGGCGAUUUGCAGGUCUCUGAGCAACAGGAGGGGAAACUGAUGCAGUGGCACAGAUGUUACUUGGGAUGCCACUUAUUUACCACCAUGUGGACACGCCCAAUGAGGCUCUUUGCUGGUUCCUUGCCAAUUCCUGUCUCCUAAGCCUCAUCUCCAUCAAUUGAUAAGCCUAGAAAUCCUGCGCACAAUCAAAGGCACCUGUAUCUGCGUCCCUGCCUGCUUCUACGGGAGGAGCCUGCGGUGGCUCCUCAGUGCCUCGGAGGUGCAUCUGACAUGCUCACCCUGCCAGUCUUCUGGGCUCACCUCUUCUAGUGGCUUCCUGUACCACAGCUGUGCUCCUUCUGACCAGCUGUGCCUGCUUCCUCCUGCUGGAGCAGCCUUUCCUUUCCUACAAGUCAGUUCCUUCUCCUGCUUUCCAAGGUCCCACUCCUACCUCCCUUUUUACAGUGGCCUGUUGGGACCCUGGCCUCCACUGUGUGAGAACCCUGCCACAGUCGGGGUCUCCCUCCAUAGCCUCCUCCUGGAUGCAGUGCACUGGAAUCCAGCCUUCACUAGCAAUGUGGCAUCAUAGGCUAGCCCAGCCUCAGUGUACAGGAGAGAUCUGAGGGCCACAGAGGUGAGGUCACUUGCCCAAGCACAGAUUACCAAUUUCUCUCAGAAAACCUAGGGAGAGAGCUGUCAGCAAAGUGCUUGCCACACAAGCUUGAGGACCCGAGUUCAGCCCCACAACACACGCCAAGUUCCUCCAGACCUGCAGGUCUCUCCGACCCUCCAGACCUGAAGGCUUCUCCUGCCACAUGAAAAACCUUAUGGGCAGAAGGGAGGAGAAUUUCUAGUAUGUUUCCGAAAUUUUUGUUUUGUUUUUCAAGACAAGGUUUCUCUGUGUGUAGCCCUGGAACUCUUUGUUUUGUAGAACGAGGCUGGCCUUCAUCUGCCUCUGCCUCCCAAGCGCUGGGAUUAAAGAGUGUACAACCACA
Meriones unguiculatus (Mongolian gerbil) is the source of this 1237-nucleotide long non-coding RNA. RefSeq lists it as uncharacterized. NCBI's taxonomy places the organism in Eukaryota, Metazoa, Chordata, Mammalia, Rodentia, Muridae. The transcript is spliced from 2 exons. The record is from RefSeq and is a predicted model, not a curated record.